This 495-nucleotide ribosomal RNA is filed under the name uncultured bacterium. Its description in RNAcentral is "partial 16S ribosomal RNA". It matches the Rfam family "Bacterial small subunit ribosomal RNA", at positions 28 to 507 of the family's 1533-position model. The record is from RNAcentral.
GACGAACGCUGGCGGCGUGCCUAAUACAUGCAAGUCGAACGCUGAAGGAGGAGCUUGCUUCUCUGGAUGAGUUGCGAACGGGUGAGUAACGCGUAGGUAACCUGCCUGGUAGCGGGGGAUAACUAUUGGAAACGAUAGCUAAUACCGCAUAAGAGUAGAUGUUGCAUGACAUUUGCUUAAAAGGUGCAAUUGCAUCACUACCAGAUGGCCAUGCGUUGUAUUAGCUAGUUGGUGAGGUAACGGCUCACCAAGGCAACGAUACAUAGCCGACCUGAGAGGGGAAGAGGCCUAGCUGGGACGGGGGCACGGCCCGGACUCCUACGGGAGGGAGCCGGAGGGGAUCCUCGGGGAAGGAAGGAAGUCUGAACGAGGAACGCCGCGUGAGUGAAUAAGGGUGUCGGGUCGUGAAGCUCAGUUGUAAGAGAAGAACGAGUGUGAGAGUGGAAAGUUCACACUGUGACGGUAUCUGACCAGAAAGGUACGGCUAACUACGUG